This is a long non-coding RNA of Mauremys reevesii (Reeves's turtle), 1106 nucleotides long. RefSeq lists it as uncharacterized. Lineage: Eukaryota; Metazoa; Chordata; Testudines; Geoemydidae. The transcript has 3 exons. The record is from RefSeq and is a predicted model, not a curated record.
UUUAUCUAAAAGAUCUGCUCUACUUCAAACAGGACUUAAUUCAGGGAAGUCCUACGGCCUGUGUUACACAGGGGGUCAGACUAGAUGAUCACAAUGGUCCCCUUUGGCCUUGGAAUCUAUGGACCUAUGAAUCAGAGCUGGUCCACAGCACUCAGUGUGUGCUAUUGCCACCAUGUCUUGUGGUGAUGGGAACCUCUGGAUGGGUGGUGUAAAGACAUUGCCCCGACUGACAGCUUUACAGCUAUCCUCAGUAGCAGGUGAGGUGCACAGUCUCACAGGAGGAAAGGAACAGUCGGGUAUGUACACAGGGUGAAAUUUGCAUUCUGCUGCUACUGAAGUCAAUGGUAAAACUCACUGUUGACUUUGAUGGCACCAGAGUUAGACCAACAGUGAGCACUUUGGAAAAUCCCAUCCAUAUUUCUCAUUUUAUGAUCACAUCUUGCAACAGACCCUGGUGGGAUUUACCUGACUCUUACAGAUCGCCCUCAGUGCCCACGCUGGCAUCAGGUUGCUCUAGAUCUGGAUGGGCUGGAAACAUUGUCCUUCUGGGAGCUGUGGUUAUAUUGAGGAUAUAAGGUGCUUCAUCCUUGCUACCUGUUAUCACACCUGAGAGCUCAGUCUCCAAUCAGACUGCGCUCCCGCCUCCAUCCAGUUGCCAAAUCCAGCACAGGAGUUCACUCACAUUAAGUAGCACUUUGUCUCGCGCAACCAGCCAAUGCUGAUGUAUGUGGUUGACAAAGGCAAUGGGACUAACUGAAAGUGGGGGGAGAGUGCCUGCCAGCUAAAGGAGAAGUAUCAGCAAAGGCCAGACAUCUCCUUGCAUAACGUUUUCCUGAUGAGCCAGGAAGUGCAGUCCGAGGAUGCUGGAACAUACCAGACAACAGUGCAAGCUAAUGAUAUGCCAAAGGUCACUGCAGAAGUCACCCUCCUAGUGGCUGAGUGUAACCGAAGGGCUACUCCACCCAAUGCAAGCAAAGGAGACGCCAGAUAAAACUUCACCAUCAGCCAGGGCUGCAACUUUUGGUUCCUCCAUUCUGGUAGCCAUCCUCCAGGAGUCACCAACACAGGGUAUGGCAGUGGAAGGCAAAGGACCAUCUUUAAUGCAC